AUUGAACGCUGGCGGCAUGCCUUACACAUGCAAGUCGAACGGCAGCACGGGUGCUUGCACCUGGUGGCGAGUGGCGAACGGGUGAGUAAUACAUCGGAACGUACCUUAUCGUGGGGGAUAACGCAGCGAGAGCUGUGCUAAUACCGCAUACGCCCUGAAGGGGAAAGCGGGGGAUCGCAAGACCUCGCGCGAUUAGAGCGGCCGAUGCCUGAUUAGCUUGCUGGUGGGGUAAAAGCCCACCAAGGGGACGAUCAGUAGCUGGUCUGAGAGGACGAUCAGCCACACUGGGACUGAGACACGGCCCAGACUCCGCCGGGAGGCAGCAGUGGGGAAUUUUGGACAAUGGGGGCAACCCUGAUCCAGCAAUGCCGCGUGAGUGAAGAAGGCCUUCGGGUUGUAAAGCUCUUUUGUCAGGGAAGAAACACCGGCUCUAACACAGUCCGGGAAUGACGGUACCUGAAGAAUAAGCACCGGCUAACUACGUGCCAGCAGCCGCCGUAA
Molecule: ribosomal RNA, 501 nt
Filed under: uncultured bacterium
Lineage: Bacteria
Description: partial 16S ribosomal RNA
Rfam family: Bacterial small subunit ribosomal RNA
Source: RNAcentral